AAGUGCGACCGAAGAGAGUAAAGCUCAAUAAUCUAAACUUUAAAUUUUUAAUUUAAAGUCAUGUGAUUUUCUAAACUCAUUGAAAUUUUUAUAAAUUAUGAUUGAAUUCAUAACUAUAAAGAGUUAUAGUCUCGUUAUUUAAAAUUUCAAGCAUGGGAAUUAGAAUUAAAGAGUCGGGUAGCUUGAGAAUGCUGCCUUAAUAUAGGUGGUACACCCCAUCUAAAGCUAAAUAUUGUAAAGAGACCGAUAGCAUACAAGUAGUGUGAACGAAAGAUGAAAAGAACUCCUAAACGGAGAAUUAAAAGCGCCUGAACUUGUCUAGGUUUUCGCAUUUCUUUAAUGCGCCCGUCUUGAAACACGGAUUAGGGAGUUUUACUUAAAUACGAGUCUUUAACUUUUAAAGUAAUUUUUUUAAAAAAGGCGAAAAGAAAUUAACUGGUUUUUUUAACAUGGCUAUAGAGUAUUUAAGUCAAAACCCGAAUGGAGGUGAACUAUUCCUGCAAAGAUUGAAGUCAGGGGAAACUCUGAUGGAAGAUCGUUGGCGUUAUUGAUGUGCAAAUCAUUUGCUUUAUGUAGGUAUAGGUGCGAAAGACUCAUCGAACCUCCUAAUAGCUGGUUUCCUCCGAAGUUUCCCUCAGGAUAGCUGUAACAUUUUUAAAUAGUUAAGGAUAGUAGAGAAAUGGGUAGAGGUGUAGUGGAACUACGGUUCUGCAACUUAUUUCCAAACUUCGAACGUUCUUGAUAUAAAAAAUUACCUAAUAGGAAUUUUUUAUUUAAAUAUAUGUUAUAAGUGGGCUCUGACCGGUAAGCGGUCAUGGCGAAAAGGGAUGAACCUAACGUAUAAAUAAGGUGCCUAAAUUUACUAACAAUGAAACCAUUAAAAGAGUCCAUGUAUUUAGACAGCGGGUCGGUGCCCCUAAAAGCAGGUAUCCGUUAAUGAGUGUGUUAAAACUCCCCCGCCGAAUACUCUGGCCUUGAAAAUGAAUGGCGCAUAUAGUAAUACCGAUAUUAUACAUUAAAAUUAUUUAAAAAUUUUAAAAGUAGGGGGAUGUGGAUAUCUUAGAGAAUUUUUAAUUGUAAAAUUGAAUUGAAAGAUAUCUAUUACAGAUCCUAAUUGAAGUAGCGAUUAUCCAGGUUAAUCUCCUGGGGGCUGAUGAGGAGUAGGGUUUCUGGGCAACUUAAACGGACCCAGAGUUAGUCGAUCCUAAUCAAAUUAAAUUUAGAGAAAGGGAAUAUGAAUGAUAUUUCAUAACUAAAAUUAAUUUUUAAAUGGUGACAUUUUUUUAAACUUAUUUCCAUCAAUUAAAUACUGUUUAAUAGGGAUUUCUUUCCUAUAUAACUUUUUAAUUAAAACUUAAGAAACAGGUUAACUGGAGAAUAAAGUUUUAAUUUAGUAAAAUUAUAAUUUCGAUUAUAAUAACGGCUAUUUAAAUGAUCCAUGAAACAAUAAGUUUAUUUUUUCAAAAAUUAAUUUAAUCGUACCGAUAACCGCAUCAGGUCUCCAAGGUGAGUAGCUUCUGGCCAUUGAGUAAUGGUAAUUUAGGGAAUUCGGCCAAUUAGAGCUGUAACUUCGGGAUAAAGCUUGGCUCUGAUGGAAAUCAGAACCGAUAGUUACAAGGAGAGCCCAACUGUUUAAUAAAAACUUAGUGUCGCGUCAUACCUUUAUAAGUAAUAAACGUGACAUGAAUCCUGCUCAGUGCUGUGUUUGUUAAACUGGAUUAAUCCAUUUAAGCGCCGGUAAAUAGCUGGGGUAACUAUGACUCUUAUCAAAGUAGCGAAAUACCUCGUCACUUAAUUAGUGACCUGCAUGAACGGAGCUAUGAGGUUCUCACUGUCCCAAAUUAUCACUCAGCGAACCAACAGUUGUGGGAACGGGCACAAAUUAUCCAGCGGGGAAAGAAGACCCUGUAGAGCUUCACUUUGGUCUAAUCUUGUAUAGUUUCGUUAGGGGUGCAGUCUAGGUGGGAGAUUUUUAAUCAAAUAUGAGAAACCACUACCCUUUCUGGAAUUAUACUUACUAAAAUUCUUUUCUAAAUUUUAGGAUCGGAUUAGAUAGAAAGUUUGGCUGGGGCGGCACACCUUCGAAAAAGCAGCGAAGGUGUCCUAAGUUAAGCUCAGUAAGGACAGAAAUCUUACGUUGAGGAUAAGGCCAAAAGCUUAAUUUACUGUGCCUUUUUGUACUAGGAUCAGUUUGGAAACAAAGGCCUAACGAUCCCUAAUUAGUCUUAGGUGUGUAAGACUUGGGGUGACAGACAAGUUACCUCCGGGACAACUGGCUUGUGGCUGCUAAGAGAUCAAAUCAACGCAGCUUUUUGAUUCUUCGAUGUCGGC
Molecule: ribosomal RNA, 2331 nt
Filed under: human gut metagenome
Description: eukaryotic LSU rRNA
Rfam family: Eukaryotic large subunit ribosomal RNA
Source: RNAcentral